GACAGAGGGUGCAAACGUUGUUCGGAUUUACUGGGCGUAAAGCGCGUGUAGGCGGCUUGGCAAGUCGGAUGUGAAAGCCCACGGCUCAACCGUGGAAGCGCAUCCGAAACUGCUUCGCUCGAGUCUCGGAGAGGAAGGUGGAAUGCUUGGUGUAGAGGUGAAAUUCGUAGAUAUCAAGCAGAGCACCUGCGGCGAAGGCGGCCUUCUGGACGAUGACUGACGCUGAGACGCGAAAGCGUGGGGAGCAAACAGG
Molecule: ribosomal RNA, 253 nt
Filed under: uncultured bacterium
Lineage: Bacteria
Description: partial 16S ribosomal RNA
Rfam family: Bacterial small subunit ribosomal RNA
Source: RNAcentral